RNAcentral lists this ribosomal RNA (371 nucleotides) under uncultured bacterium. Its description in RNAcentral is "bacterial SSU rRNA". It matches the Rfam family "Bacterial small subunit ribosomal RNA", at positions 958 to 1333 of the family's 1533-position model. The record is from RNAcentral.
AACGCGCAGAACCUUACCUGCCCUUGACAUCCCGGUCGCGGUUUCCAGAGAUGGAUUCCUUCAGCUCGGCUGGACCGGUGACAGGUGCUGCAUGGCUGUCGUCAGCUCGUGUCGUGAGAUGUUGGGUUAAGUCCCGCAACGAGCGCAACCCUCGUCGUUAGUUGCCAUCAGGUUGGCCUGGGCACUCUAACGAGACUGCCGGUGUCAAACCGGAGGAAGGUGGCGAUGACGUCAAGUCCUCAUGGCCCUUACGGGCAGGGCUACACACGAGCUACAAUGGCAGUGACAGACAGUUAAUCUCUAAACCGCGUUCCAUUUGGAAUUGUGCUUGUCAAUUCCAGACCAGGAAGUGGAAAUCCGGGUCUUGUACA